UACGAAGGGGGCUAGCGUUGUUCGGAAUUACUGGGCGUAAAGCGCGCGCAGGCGGUUCUUUAAGUCAGGGUGAAAGCCCAGAGCUCAACUCUGGAAUUGCCUUUGAAACUAGAGAACUUGGGUACGGGAGAGGUGAGUGGAAUUCCGAGUGUAGAGGUGAAAUUCGUAGAUAUUCGGAAGAACACCAGUGGCGAAGGCGGCUCACUAGCCCAUAACUGACGCUGAGGCACGAAAGCGUGGGGAG
RNAcentral lists this ribosomal RNA (244 nucleotides) under uncultured bacterium. Its description in RNAcentral is "partial 16S ribosomal RNA". It matches the Rfam family "Bacterial small subunit ribosomal RNA", at positions 524 to 768 of the family's 1533-position model. The record is from RNAcentral.